AAGGCCAGCCGCUAAGACCAGUACUGUUGAACUCUGGGCCUCCAAUCCCUGGACUGUAUUAAGGGGGUUGAGCUGGAAGAGGCUCAAUGUUUUGCCAGUCCUUUGAACCGGGAACCCUUGAGUUUCAAAUCUGCUAUUGCCCCACCAGACAGCUGCCUCUGCCUCUGCCCAAGGUCACGGAUUGACAGUGAGACAACUGGGACGGACACCCUGACUUACCUGGAGAAGAGGCUUGCCCAAGCUUGAGGAUCUGGUUCCUGAGGUCUUCUUUGAGCCAAGACUCUUGGUGUGAGAUGUAUGAGGACCAGGGUCCACAGAUGAGUCAGACCCUGCCAAUGCCACCAGCAGUGAACCAGCCUAGGCUAGCCCACUGCCCCCAAGAAGCAGAGGAGAAGUCGUCCUAAGUGGGCCAAUAGCCAGCCAACCUCCAAAAGGUGAGGAACACAGCCAAGAUCCAUGAAACGGACGCUCACGUGACUUGAAUGCUGACCACAGACACCUGAGUGAGUCCAGCCCAGCCCAACCCAGAAGAACCACCCAUCCAAACAGCAGACCCACAAGCUAAAUAAACGUUUUCAAGUUUAACCCACUGGGUUUUGUGUGUGUUUGUUAUGUGACAUAUUGUAGUAAAUAACUGAUACACUAGUUCAAAUUAAUUUGUGGCUGCUUAG
RNAcentral lists this long non-coding RNA (671 nucleotides) under Homo sapiens (human). Its description in RNAcentral is "HSALNT0231424". The record is from RNAcentral. Lineage: Eukaryota; Metazoa; Chordata; Mammalia; Primates; Hominidae.